Molecule: ribosomal RNA, 443 nt
Filed under: uncultured bacterium
Lineage: Bacteria
Description: partial 16S ribosomal RNA
Rfam family: Bacterial small subunit ribosomal RNA
Source: RNAcentral
UAGGGAAUCUUCCACAAUGGACGCAAGUCUGAUGGAGCAACGCCGCGUGAGUGAAGAAGGUUUUCGGACCGUAAAGCUCUGUUGUUGGUGAAGAAGGAUAGAGGUAGUAACUGGCCCUUUAUUUGACGGUAAUCAACCAGAAAGUCACGGCUAACUACGUGCCAGCAGCCGCGGUAAUACGUAGGUGGCAAGCGUUGUCCGGAUUUAUUGGGCGUAAAGCGAGCGCAGGCGGAAGAAUAAGUCUGAUGUGAAAGCCCUCGGCUUAACCGAGGAAUUGCAUCGGAAACUGUUUUUCUUGAGUGCAGAAGAGGAGAGUAGAACUCCAUGUGUAGCGGUGGAAUGCGUAGAUAUAUGGAAGAAUACCAGUGGCGAAGGCGGCUCUCUGGUCUGCAACUGACGCUGAGGCUCGAAAGCAUGGGUAGCGAACAGGAUUAGAUACCCUG